This 526-nucleotide ribosomal RNA is filed under the name Salmonella enterica. RNAcentral describes it as "partial 23S ribosomal RNA". It matches the Rfam family "Bacterial large subunit ribosomal RNA", at positions 666 to 1190 of the family's 2925-position model. The record is from RNAcentral. Lineage: Bacteria; Pseudomonadati; Pseudomonadota; Gammaproteobacteria; Enterobacterales; Enterobacteriaceae.
CCGAAGGGAAACCGAGUCUUAACCGGGCGUUAAGUUGCAGGGUAUAGACCCGAAACCCGGUGAUCUAGCCAUGGGCAGGUUGAAGGUUGGGUAACACUAACUGGAGGACCGAACCGACUAAUGUUGAAAAAUUAGCGGAUGACCUGUGGCUGGGGGUGAAAGGCCAAUCAAACCGGGAGAUAGCUGGUUCUCCCCGAAAGCUAUUUAGGUAGCGCCUCGUGAAUUCAUCUCCGGGGGUAGAGCACUGUUUCGGCUAGGGGGCCAUCCCGGCUUACCAACCCGAUGCAAACUGCGAAUACCGGAGAAUGUUAUCACGGGAGACACACGGCGGGUGCUAACGUCCGUCGUGAAGAGGGAAACAACCCAGACCGCCAGCUAAGGUCCCAAAGUCAUGGUUAAGUGGGAAACGAUGUGGGAAGGCCCAGACAGCCAGGAUGUUGGCUUAGAAGCAGCCAUCAUUUAAAGAAAGCGUAAUAGCUCACUGGUCGAGUCGGCCUGCGCGGAAGAUGUAACGGGGCUAAACCAU